This 305-nucleotide ribosomal RNA is filed under the name uncultured bacterium. RNAcentral's name for it is "bacterial SSU rRNA". It matches the Rfam family "Bacterial small subunit ribosomal RNA", at positions 334 to 631 of the family's 1533-position model. The record is from RNAcentral.
UUUCCCUACGGGGGGCAGCAGUAGGGAAUUUUCGGCAAUGGGCGAAAGCCUGACCGAGCAACGCCGCGUGAACGAAGAAGGUCUUCGGAUUGUAAAGUUCUGUUAUAGAGGAAGAAUGGUGUACGUAGGAAAUGGCGUACAAAUGACGGUACUCUGUGAGGAAGCCACGGCUAACUACGUGCCAGCAGCCGCGGUAAUACGUAGGUGGCGAGCGUUAUCCGGAAUCAUUGGGCGUAAAGGGAACGCAGGCGGUCUUUUAAGUCUGAUGUGAAAGCCUUCGGCUUAACCGGAGGAGUGCAUUGGAA